This is a long non-coding RNA of Phyllostomus discolor (pale spear-nosed bat), 116 nucleotides long. RefSeq lists it as uncharacterized. The transcript is spliced from 3 exons. Lineage: Eukaryota; Metazoa; Chordata; Mammalia; Chiroptera; Phyllostomidae. The record is from RefSeq and is a predicted model, not a curated record.
ACCCACAGCCACAUCCUCCACUACAGAAGUCCUGGUGGCACAGCCCCUCACCAUGGACUGGAGCUGGAGAGCCUUCUUCCUGGUGGCAGUGGCUACAGCUGUCCAUUCAGAGGUGA